AGAGUUUGAUCAUGGCUCAGGACGAACGCUGGCGGCGUGCUUAACACAUGCAAGUCGAACGGAAAGUGCCCAGCUUGCUGGGUGACUCGAGUGGCGAACGGGUGAGUAACACGUGGGUGAUCUGCCCUGCACUUUGGGAUAAGCCUGGGAAACUGGGUCUAAUACCGGAUAUACCCUGCUGGUCGCAUGGCCUGGUGGGGGAAAGCUUUUGCGGUGUGGGAUGGGCCCGCGGCCUAUCAGCUUGUUGGUGGGGUGAUGGCCUACCAAGGCGACGACGGGUAGCCGGCCUGAGAGGGUGUCCGGCCACACUGGGACUGAGAUACGGCCCAGACUCCUACGGGAGGCAGCAGUGGGGAAUAUUGCACAAUGGGCGCAAGCCUGAUGCAGCGACGCCGCGUGAGGGAUGACGGCCUUCGGGUUGUAAACCUCUUUCAGCCAUGACGAAGCGUGAGUGACGGUAAUGGCAGAAGAAGCACCGGCCAACUACGUGCCAGCAGCCGCGGUAAUACGUAGGGUGCGAGCGUUGUCCGGAAUUACUGGGCGUAAAGAGCUCGUAGGUGGUUUGUCGCGUUGUUCGUGAAAACUCAAGGCUUAACCUUGGGCGUGCGGGCGAUACGGGCAGACUGGAGUACUGCAGGGGAGACUGGAAUUCCUGGUGUAGCGGUGGAAUGCGCAGAUAUCAGGAGGAACACCGGUGGCGAAGGCGGGUCUCUGGGCAGUAACUGACGCUGAGGAGCGAAAGCGUGGGGAGCGAACAGGAUUAGAUACCCUGGUAGUCCACGCCGUAAACGGUGGGUACUAGGUGUGGGUUUCCUUCCUUGGGAUCCGUGCCGUAGCUAACGCAUUAAGUACCCCGCCUGGGGAGUACGGCCGCAAGGCUAAAACUUAAAGGAAUUGACGA
Molecule: ribosomal RNA, 901 nt
Filed under: uncultured bacterium
Lineage: Bacteria
Description: bacterial SSU rRNA
Rfam family: Bacterial small subunit ribosomal RNA
Source: RNAcentral